Molecule: ribosomal RNA, 2007 nt
Filed under: Elaeomyxa cerifera
Lineage: Eukaryota; Evosea; Eumycetozoa; Physariida; Elaeomyxaceae
Description: SSU rRNA
Rfam family: Eukaryotic small subunit ribosomal RNA
Source: RNAcentral
AACCUGGUUGAUCCUGCCAGUAGUGUAUGCUUCUUCUAAAGACUAAGCCAUGCAUGCCCUGAAUAAGAAGAAGCAAUUUUCUCUGAAUCUGCGAACGGCUCCGCAAACCAGUUGUAAACUAGCGCAAGCAGCCCUUACGGAGCCCCUCGAAGGGUACUGGAAUGGGCUAUAAGGAUAUCCCUGGUAAUUCUAGGGCUAAUACAAGCUCGUACCACCUUGAUCAAGCAGCCUGACCGGCAGCGCAUCGGGGGGGCGUGUUCUAUAGCUUCGGGGUGAAACAGGAUGUCGAGUACACGCUCAGACUGUCAUAAAACAUGGAUAGGAAGGCGGACUCUCUCUGGGGAUGCAAUGCUGACCUUACCCUGACAGCUCUUGCUGUGUGCUCCUGACCUAUCAACUAGACUGCAGCGUAACGGACAUGCUAUGGUCAUAACGGGUACAGAGGAUUAGGGUUCGAUCCUGGAGAGUGGGCCUGAGAGAUUGCUCAUACUUCUAAGGAAGGCAGCAGGCGCGCAACGUUCCCAUUGAGCAAAGCUCGAGGGCGUUAGGGGAAAUAUGAAUGCCUGCCACUAAGGUGGGCAAUUCAAAUGGGUCUGUCCUAAACAGGCUCUCGAGUAACAAUUAGAGGACAAGUCUGGUGCCAGCACCCGCGGUAAUUCCAGCUCUAAUAGCAUACGUUAAAGUUGUUGCGGUUAAAACGCUCGUAGCUAACAUCAGGGGGGACAAGUUGUUAUCUCGGAUGGCUGAUCGCGACCCCGUAAGGUCCUGGGAUCGACUCAGGUGUAGGGAUACCGUAGUUUACAGAAGAGAGAAGCACCGAAUCCCACUAAGAGAACGUUAACCACUCUAAAAGGUAAAAACGGGUUUUUUGGCUUGAUAUGCCCAAAGGAAAUCGCUAAACUGCCUGGGUUAAAGUGCCUCUUACCAUGAUACAACUGGAGUGCUCAAUGCAGGUCGGAAAGGACCCGUACAGCACAGCAUGGUAUUCCACUGCUUGUCUUGGACCUCCCCCAAUUGAGGGCCUCGCAUCCAGCUGCUACAGGGGUGUUCGAGGGUGACCGAAUUGCUGGGCGAGUGGUGAAAUACGUUGACCCUAGCAAGUCGACCAAAUGCGAAAGCAGUCAUCAAGGGCACACCCUUUGGUCAAGAGCGAAAGUUAAGGGUUCGAAAACGAUCAGAUACCGUUGUAGUCUUAACUAUAAAUGAUACUGGCCAGAGGUGGGAUAGUGUCCAUCUCGACUCUUCCUGAAACUUGGAGAAAUUUGAGUAUUUGAGUUCUGGGGGGAGUAUGGUCGCAAGGCUGAAACUUAAAGGAAUUGACGGAAGGGCACACAAAGAGUGGAACCUGCGGCUUAAUUUGACUCAACACGGGAAAACUCACCAGGUCCAGAUACGAGUAUGAAGGACAAGCUAAAAGACUUUUCCCAAUAACGUAAGUGGUGGUGCAUGGCCGUUCUUAGUUCGUGGAGUGAUCUGUCUGGUUUAUUCCGAUAACGAGCGAGACCCUAACGUUCUUAAUAGGGGGGGCUCCCUGUCGGCGACGUCGAACACGGCAAAGACUAUAGCUUUCUUAAUUCUUUCUCUACUUAGACGGAUCAGAGCCGAAGAGGUUCUUGAAAUAGGGUAAUAACAGGUCAGUCAUGCCCUUAGAUGUUCUGGGCCGCACGCGCGUUACAAUGGCAGGGAAAAAUAGUGCUCUUCGGGGUGCCCCAUAGCCUAACGGUUGUUGUAAUCCUUAAACCCUCCCCUGACUGGGAUAGUCUGUUGUAAUUAUCGGUCUUGAACGAGGAAUUUUUAGUAGUCGUGGGUCAUUAGCCCGCGACGAAUCAGUCCCUGCCCUUUGUACACACCGCCCGUCGCUGCUACCGAUUGGGUUUUGCGGUUACGAGUUCGGAGCUGUAGGCUACUGCUCACAAUAAAAGUAAGCACAGGCUAGCGACAAAGUUCUAAUUACCGCACGGCCUAGAGGAAGCAGAAGUCGUAACAAGGUAAUCGUAGGUGAACCUG